AGUAGGAUAGCUGGGUCAUAUGGUGGUUCCACUCCUCAUUUUUGAGGAAUGUCCACACUCUUUUUCAAAGUUGUUGUCCUAGUUUGUAUUCCUACCAACAAU
This 102-nucleotide microRNA precursor is filed under the name Marmota monax (woodchuck). The record is from RNAcentral. Lineage: Eukaryota; Metazoa; Chordata; Mammalia; Rodentia; Sciuridae.